CCUAAGGGUAGGCAUAGUUUAAACUUAAAACCUUAAGCUGUGGACUUAACAAUAGGA
RNAcentral lists this transfer RNA (57 nucleotides) under Quedenfeldtia trachyblepharus (Atlas day gecko). Its description in RNAcentral is "partial tRNA-His". Lineage: Eukaryota; Metazoa; Chordata; Lepidosauria; Squamata; Sphaerodactylidae. The record is from RNAcentral.